UCGUUGUUGUCUUUAACUUCUUAUCUUUAUCAUAAUUGAUUUUAUCUUCAAAAUAAUUCUGACAAGAGGAAUCUUCAAAAUCUUAUCUUCAUCAUAAUUGAACUUAUCUUCAACAUAAUUUAGAGGUCUAUGAUUCCAUAACAAUCAUCUUCAUUAUUAUUUUCAGAAGUGCUAGAAGCACUAUCACUUUCAGAUAAAGCA
Molecule: long non-coding RNA, 201 nt
Filed under: Lathyrus oleraceus (garden pea)
Lineage: Eukaryota; Viridiplantae; Streptophyta; Magnoliopsida; Fabales; Fabaceae
Description: Pisum sativum (pea) long non-coding RNA (PSAT_LNC033949)
Source: RNAcentral